GUAGCGGUGAAAUGCGUAGAGAUUGCCUAGAACACCGAUUGCGAAGGCAGGUCACUAAGUCUAAAUUGACGCUGAUGGAUGAAAGCGUGGGGAGCGAACAGGAUUAGAUACCCUGGUAGUCCACGCCGUAAACGAUGGAUACUCGCUGCUCGAACACUUGAGUUCGAGUGGCUGCGAGAAAUCAUUAAGUAUCCCACCUGGGGAGUACGCCCGCAAGGGUGAAACUCAAAGGAAUUGACGGGGGCCCGCACAAGUGGUGGAGCAUGUGGUUUAAUUCGAUGAUACGCGAGGAACCUUACCUGGGCUCGAAUGGUACCGGAAGGUCCCCGAAAAGGGACUGUUUCUUCGGAACCGGUAUCAAGGUGCUGCAUGGUUGUCGUCAGCUCGUGCCGUGAGGUGUUGGGUUAAGUCCCGCAACGAGCGCAACCCCUAUGGUUAGUUGCCAGCAGGUUAAGCUGGGGACUCUAGCCAGACUGCCCGUGCAAGCGGAGAGGAAGGCGGGGACGACGUCAAAUCAUCAUGGCCCUUACGCCCAGGGCGACACACGUGCUACAAUGGACGGUACAGCAGGCAGCGACCCCGCGAGGGCAAGCAAAUCCGCAAAAGCCGUUCUCAGUUCGGAUCGUAGUCUGCAACUCGACUGCGUGAAGCCGGAAUCACUAGUAAUCGCGCAUCAGCCAUGGCGCGGUGAAUACGUUCCCGGGCCUUGCACACACCGCCCGUC
Molecule: ribosomal RNA, 724 nt
Filed under: uncultured bacterium
Lineage: Bacteria
Description: bacterial SSU rRNA
Rfam family: Bacterial small subunit ribosomal RNA
Source: RNAcentral